ACCUUGGUCGCGAAUUAAACCGGGGCCUUAAAUGGGUUGGCCUUAGGGUUGGGGUUUCCCGUUGGUUGGUCCGGAAUUGGUUGAAAAUUGGUUCCACCUUGGCCUUCCAAACCGGGUUGGAAAAAGGAACUUUCCGAAAAACCUGGCCGGGUAACCUAGAAGUUGGCCAGGGGAAGAAGGGAAGAAGCCGGGAAAUUUCUUUGGUGUAGCGGUGGAAUGCGUUGAUAUCAAGAAGAACACCGGUGGCGAAGGCGGCUCUCUGGAAUGCAACUGACGCUGAGGCACGAAAGUUGGGGUAGCGAACAGGAUUAGAUACCCUGGUAGUCCCAACCGUAAACGUCGUGUACUUGGUGUGGGGAGAUUUCGACCCUUCCCGUGCCGGAGCUAACGCGUUAAGUACACCGCCUGGGGAGUACGGCCGCAAGGCUAAAACUCAAAGAAAUGACGGGGGCCCGCACAAGCGGAGGAGCAUGUGGCUCAAUUCCGAUGCAACGCGAAGAACCUUACCAGUGGUCUUUGAACAUUAUUUAGGCUGGCACGCACCCGGU
RNAcentral lists this ribosomal RNA (548 nucleotides) under uncultured bacterium. Its description in RNAcentral is "bacterial SSU rRNA". The stretch from base 81 to 548 matches the Rfam family "Bacterial small subunit ribosomal RNA", at positions 1 to 1014 of the family's 1533-position model. The record is from RNAcentral.